CAUUACUGAGUUUACGCUCUACAACCCUUUGUGAACAUACCUAUAACUGUUGCUUCGGCGGGUAGGGUCCCCGUGACCCUCCCGGCCUCCCGCCCCCGGGCGGGUCGGCGCCCGCCGGAGGAUAACCAAACUCUGAUUUAACGACGUUUCUUCUGAGUGGUACAAGCAAAUAAUCAAAACUUUUAACAACGGAUCUCUUGGUUCUGGCAUCGAUGAAGAACGCAGCGAAAUGCGAUAAGUAAUGUGAAUUGCAGAAUUCAGUGAAUCAUCGAAUCUUUGAACGCACAUUGCGCCCGCCAGCAUUCUGGCGGGCAUGCCUGUUCGAGCGUCAUUUCAACCCUCAAGCUCUGCUUGGUGUUGGGGCCCUACAGCUGAUGUAGGCCCUCAAAGGUAGUGGCGGACCCUCCCGGAGCCUCCUUUGCGUAGUAACUUUACGUCUCGCACUGGGAUCCGGAGGGACUCUUGCCGUAAAACCCCCCAAUUUUCCAAAGGUGACCUCGGAUCAGGUAGGAAUACCCGCUGAACUUAAGCAUAUCAA
This 538-nucleotide ribosomal RNA is filed under the name Colletotrichum siamense. RNAcentral describes it as "eukaryotic LSU rRNA". The stretch from base 178 to 331 matches the Rfam family "5.8S ribosomal RNA". Lineage: Eukaryota; Fungi; Ascomycota; Sordariomycetes; Glomerellales; Glomerellaceae. The record is from RNAcentral.